UUGAACGCUGGCGGCAUGCCUUACCCCUGCCAGUCGAACGGUAACGGGCCUUCGGGUGCCGCCGAGUGGCGAACGGGUGAGUAAUACAUCGGAACGUGCCCGAUCGUGGGGGAUAACGAGGCGAAAGCUUUGCUAAUACCGCAUACGAUCUACGGAUGAAAGCAGGGGACCGCAAGGCCUUGCGCGGACGGAGCGGCCGAUGGCAGAUUAGGUAGUUGGUGGGAUAAAAGCUUACCAAGCCGACGAUCUGUAGCUGGUCUGAGAGGAUGAUCAGCCACACUGGGACUGAGACACGGCCCAGACUCCUACGGGAGGCAGCAGUGGGGAAUUUUGGACAAUGGGCGCAAGCCUGAUCCAGCCAUGCCGCGUGCAGGAUGAAGGCCUUCGGGUUGUAAACUGCUUUUGUACGGAACGAAAAGCCUUCUUUUAAUACAGGAGGGUCAUGACGGUACCGUAAGAAUAAGCACCGGCUAACUACGUG
RNAcentral lists this ribosomal RNA (481 nucleotides) under uncultured bacterium. RNAcentral describes it as "partial 16S ribosomal RNA". It matches the Rfam family "Bacterial small subunit ribosomal RNA", at positions 30 to 507 of the family's 1533-position model. The record is from RNAcentral.